AUUGAACGCUGGCGGCAGGCCUAACACAUGCAAGUCGAACGAGUGGCGGACGGGUGAGUAAUGUCUGGGCAACUGCCUGAUGGAGGGGGAUAACUACUGGAAACGGUGGCUAAUACUGCAUACCAUGGGAUGGGCUCCGAUGGGAUUAGCGAGUAGGUGGGGUAAUGGCUCACCUAGGCGACGAUCCCUAGCGGGUCUGAGAGGGUGACCAGCCACACUGAAACUGAGAAACGGUCCAGACUCCUACGGGAGGCAGCAGUGGGGAAUAUUGCGCAAUGGGCGCAAGCCUGAUGCAGCAAUGCCGCGGGUGUGAAGAAGGCCUUCGGGUUGUAAAGUACUUUCAGCGGGGAGGCGUUAACCGCAGAAGAAGCAACGGCUAACUCCGUGCCAGCAGCCGCGGUAAUUC
This 406-nucleotide ribosomal RNA is filed under the name uncultured bacterium. RNAcentral's name for it is "partial 16S ribosomal RNA". It matches the Rfam family "Bacterial small subunit ribosomal RNA", at positions 29 to 526 of the family's 1533-position model. The record is from RNAcentral.